This 1463-nucleotide ribosomal RNA is filed under the name uncultured organism. Its description in RNAcentral is "SSU rRNA". It matches the Rfam family "Bacterial small subunit ribosomal RNA". The record is from RNAcentral.
GAACGCUGGCGGCGUGCCUAAUACAUGCAAGUAGAACGCUGAAGAGAGGAGCUUGCUCUUCUUGGAUGAGUUGCGAACGGGUGAGUAACGCGUAGGUAACCUGCCUUGUAGCGGGGGAUAACUAUUGGAAACGAUAGCUAAUACCGCAUAACAAUGGAUGACACAUGUCAUUUAUUUGAAAGGGGCAAAUGCUCCACUACAAGAUGGACCUGCGUUGUAUUAGCUAGUAGGUGAGGUAACGGCUCACCUAGGCGACGAUACAUAGCCGACCUGAGAGGGUGAUCGGCCACACUGGGACUGAGACACGGCCCAGACUCCUACGGGAGGCAGCAGUAGGGAAUCUUCGGCAAUGGGGGCAACCCUGACCGAGCAACGCCGCGUGAGUGAAGAAGGUUUUCGGAUCGUAAAGCUCUGUUGUAAGUCAAGAACGAGUGUGAGAGUGGAAAGUUCACACUGUGACGGUAGCUUACCAGAAAGGGACGGCUAACUACGUGCCAGCAGCCGCGGUAAUACGUAGGUCCCGAGCGUUGUCCGGAUUUAUUGGGCGUAAAGCGAGCGCAGGCGGUUUGAUAAGUCUGAAGUUAAAGGCUGUGGCUCAACCAUAGUUCGCUUUGGAAACUGUCAAACUUGAGUGCAGAAGGGGAGAGUGGAAUUCCAUGUGUAGCGGUGAAAUGCGUAGAUAUAUGGAGGAACACCGGUGGCGAAAGCGGCUCUCUGGUCUGUAACUGACGCUGAGGCUCGAAAGCGUGGGGAGCGAACAGGAUUAGAUACCCUGGUAGUCCACGCCGUAAACGAUGAGUGCUAGGUGUUGGAUCCUUUCCGGGAUUCAGUGCCGCAGCUAACGCAUUAAGCACUCCGCCUGGGGAGUACGACCGCAAGGUUGAAACUCAAAGGAAUUGACGGGGGCCCGCACAAGCGGUGGAGCAUGUGGUUUAAUUCGAAGCAACGCGAAGAACCUUACCAGGUCUUGACAUCCCGAUGCUAUUUCUAGAGAUAGAAAGUUACUUCGGUACAUCGGUGACAGGUGGUGCAUGGUUGUCGUCAGCUCGUGUCGUGAGAUGUUGGGUUAAGUCCCGCAACGAGCGCAACCCCUAUUGUUAGUUGCCAUCAUUCAGUUGGGCACUCUAGCGAGACUGCCGGUAAUAAACCGGAGGAAGGUGGGGAUGACGUCAAAUCAUCAUGCCCCUUAUGACCUGGGCUACACACGUGCUACAAUGGUUGGUACAACGAGUUGCGAGUCGGUGACGGCAAGCUAAUCUCUUAAAGCCAAUCUCAGUUCGGAUUGUAGGCUGCAACUCGCCUACAUGAAGUCGGAAUCGCUAGUAAUCGCGGAUCAGCACGCCGCGGUGAAUACGUUCCCGGGCCUUGUACACACCGCCCGUCACACCACGAGAGUUUGUAACACCCGAAGUCGGUGAGGUAACCUUUUGGAGCCAGCCGCCUAAGGUGGGAUAGAUGAUUGG